AUCCUCUCAGGGUUGCACCUGGAGACUUUCCAGUACUAUACCAGUCUCGGCUUUAGGAGGAAGAGUAGAGUAGAGGCCUAUCCAUUCCAUUACUAGCUUGGACAGUGGCUAGUUAGUGGAAGGCAAUCUGCUACAAGU
Molecule: small nucleolar RNA, 138 nt
Organism: Tachyglossus aculeatus (Australian echidna)
Lineage: Eukaryota; Metazoa; Chordata; Mammalia; Monotremata; Tachyglossidae
Source: RefSeq, a predicted model, not a curated record